RNAcentral lists this unclassified non-coding RNA (352 nucleotides) under soil metagenome. Its description in RNAcentral is "partial contains 5.8S ribosomal RNA, internal transcribed spacer 2, and large subunit ribosomal RNA". The stretch from base 1 to 120 matches the Rfam family "5.8S ribosomal RNA", at positions 35 to 154 of the family's 154-position model. The record is from RNAcentral.
GAUGAAGAACGCAGUGAAAUGCGAUAAGUAAUGUGAAUUGCAGAAUUCAGUGAAUCAUCGAAUCUUUGAACGCACAUUGCGCCCUUUGGUAUUCCUUAGGGCAUGCCUGUUCGAGCGUCAUUACAACCCUCAGGCCCCCGGGCCUGGCGUUGGGGAUCGGCGGAGCCCCCCGUGGGCACACGCCGUCCCCCAAAUACAGUGGCGGUCCCGCCGCAGCUUCCAUCGCGUAGUAGCUAACACCUCGCGACUGGAGAGCGGCGCGGCCACGCCGUAAAACACCCAACUCUUCUGAAGUUGACCUCGAAUCAGGUAGGAAUACCCGCUGAACUUAAGCAUAUCAAUAAGCGGAGGA